RNAcentral lists this ribosomal RNA (465 nucleotides) under Vreelandella stevensii. RNAcentral describes it as "partial 16S ribosomal RNA". It matches the Rfam family "Bacterial small subunit ribosomal RNA", at positions 338 to 795 of the family's 1533-position model. Lineage: Bacteria; Pseudomonadati; Pseudomonadota; Gammaproteobacteria; Oceanospirillales; Halomonadaceae. The record is from RNAcentral.
CCUACGGGUGGCUGCAGUGGGGAAUAUUGGACAAUGGGCGAAAGCCUGAUCCAGCCAUGCCGCGUGUGUGAAGAAGGCCUUCGGGUUGUAAAGCACUUUCAGUGGGGAAGAAAGCCUUGGGGCUAAUACCCUCGAGAAAGGACAUCACCCACAGAAGAAGCACCGGCUAACUCCGUGCCAGCAGCCGCGGUAAUACGGAGGGUGCGAGCGUUAAUCGGAAUUACUGGGCGUAAAGCGCGCGUAGGCGGUCUGAUAAGCCGGUUGUGAAAGCCCCGGGCUCAACCUGGGAACGGCAUCCGGAACUGUCAGGCUAGAGUGCAGGAGAGGAAGGUAGAAUUCCCGGUGUAGCGGUGAAAUGCGUAGAGAUCGGGAGGAAUACCAGUGGCGAAGGCGGCCUUCUGGACUGACACUGACGCUGAGGUGCGAAAGCGUGGGUAGCAAACAGGAUUAGAUACCCGAGUAGUC